ACAGCCAUAUCACAUUGAAACACCAGUUCUCAUAUGUUCACUGAAGUUAAGCAACAUUGAACCUGGUCAGUACCUAGAUGGGCGACCUCUUGGGAUUACCAGAUACUGUAA
Non-coding RNA from Acanthosepion pharaonis, 111 nucleotides. The record is from the annotation of a GenBank genome assembly. Lineage: Eukaryota; Metazoa; Mollusca; Cephalopoda; Sepiida; Sepiidae.